Molecule: ribosomal RNA, 793 nt
Filed under: uncultured bacterium
Lineage: Bacteria
Description: bacterial SSU rRNA
Rfam family: Bacterial small subunit ribosomal RNA
Source: RNAcentral
AGAGUUUGAUCCUGGCUCAGGAUGAACGCUAGCGGCAGGCUUAAUACAUGCAAGUUGAGGGGCAGCAUGAGUAGCAAUACUUGAUGGCGACCGGCGCACGGGUGCGUAACGCGUAUGCAAUCUACCUAUAACAGAGGGAUAGCCCCGAGAAAUCGGGAUUAAUACCACAUAAUAUUCCUGGGUGGCAUCAUUUAGGAAUCAAAGCUGAGGCGGUUAUAGAUGAGCAUGCGUGACAUUAGCUAGUUGGAGAGGUAACGGCUCACCAAGGCGACGAUGUCUAGGGGUUCUGAGAGGAUGAUCCCCCACACUGGUACUGAGACACGGACCAGACUCCUACGGGAGGCAGCAGUAAGGAAUAUUGGUCAAUGGGCGAGAGCCUGAACCAGCCAUGCCGCGUGCAGGAAGACGGCCUUAUGGGUUGUAAACUGCUUUUGUCGGGGAAUAAACCUAUCUACGAGUAGAUAGCUGAAGGUACCCGAAGAAUAAGCAUCGGCUAACUCCGUGCCAGCAGCCGCGGUAAUACGGAGGAUGCAAGCGUUAUCCGGAUUCAUUGGGUUUAAAGGGUGCGCAGGCGGAUUGAUAAGUCAGUGGUGAAAUUCAACGGCUCAACUGUUGACCUGCCAUUGAUACUGUUAGUCUAGAGUAUAGUUGAAGUGGGCGGAAUGUGUCAUGUAGCGGUGAAAUGCUUAGAUAUGACACAGAACACCGAUCGCGAAGGCAGCUCACUAAGCUAAAACUGACGCUCAUGCACGAAAGCGUGGGGAUCAAACAGGAUUAGAUACCCUGGUAGUCC